CCUACGGGCGGCUGCAGUGGGGAAUCUUCCACAAUGGGCGAAAGCCUGAUGGAGCGACGCCGCGUGAGUGAUGAAGGUCUUCGGAUCGUAAAGCUCUGUUACCAGGGACGAAACAAGACGGUACCUGGGGAGGAAGCCACGGCUAACUACGUGCCAGCAGCCGCGGUAAUACGUAGGUGGCGAGCGUUGUCCGGAAUUAUUGGGCGUAAAGGGCGCGUAGGCGGUCGUUUAAGUCAGGUGUGAAAGCCCCCGGCUCAACUGGGGAGUUGCAUCUGAUACUGGGCGACUAGAGUGCAGGAGAGGAAAGUGGAAUUCCGAGUGUAGCGGUGAAAUGCGUAGAUAUUCGGAGGAACACCAGUGGCGAAGGCGGCUUUCUGGACUGCAACUGACGCUGAGGCGCGAAAGCUGGGGGAGCAAACGGGCUUAGAUACCCCUGUAGUC
RNAcentral lists this ribosomal RNA (441 nucleotides) under uncultured Bacillota bacterium. RNAcentral describes it as "bacterial SSU rRNA". It matches the Rfam family "Bacterial small subunit ribosomal RNA", at positions 338 to 795 of the family's 1533-position model. The record is from RNAcentral. Lineage: Bacteria; Bacillati; Bacillota.